Long non-coding RNA from Cucurbita maxima (winter squash), 785 nucleotides. RefSeq lists it as uncharacterized. The record is from RefSeq and is a predicted model, not a curated record. The transcript is spliced from 2 exons. Lineage: Eukaryota; Viridiplantae; Streptophyta; Magnoliopsida; Cucurbitales; Cucurbitaceae.
GAGGUGGAGUCUGGAUUCUCGGCGUUGCUUGGGCAUUUGGAGGAAUGAUCUACGGUAUUGUUUACUAUACUGCUGGAAUUUCAGGCCUUAGGACACAGACAUUGUAUUAAAGUAGCCCUACAAGAGGCGUUAUGGCUAAGUAGUUCAGUGAGUUUCAAACUUUUUCAGCUCUAUAUAAACUCAUCUUCUUUAAUGAAGUGUAAAGAGUAAGUGAACAAGUGCGUUACUUACAGGAUUUGGAGGAAAAAUGGCACCCAUCACCACCAUCUUGUCUUUUCUCUUCUCUUCUCUGUCCUUUUUAUCUGAUCCUUGGCCUGAAGCAUUCUAUGGUCACCCUCUUGAUAACUCGGCGCAGUUGUUGCUCCUCGGGUAUGCUACUUUCCACACACAGCCUGCAGUCGUGUUAUAAUUUGCAUUGACAAGAUUGUCUGCGAAUCAAACUGUUCGUCUUCUUCAAAGUUUGCAGCAAGAUCUGCUCAAGUUCAGUCUGCAAUCUGCAUGACAUCUUUAACCUUUUCUGUUGAAGAUGAAGACUGUUGCAGAUAUGUAAUAGUAUUUUCAUAGAUUUCUUCUGUUAAGAAUUUGUGACGAAAAACUUUCAACUGCAAUGGUGAUUGAUGUACUGAAGUUCAAAACCUAGUUAAAAAAACAAAAAUCAUUUGCUCCCCCAGAAUUGGACCAUGUUACCAAAACUUCCAACAUUAGAGAUGCAAGGAUUGUAAUGUAAAUAUAAUCAGCUCAAACAUUUAGAGUUCUAUUUUUAUGAUAUAGUCCGUUUUUCCUGG